This 253-nucleotide ribosomal RNA is filed under the name uncultured bacterium. Its description in RNAcentral is "partial 16S ribosomal RNA". It matches the Rfam family "Bacterial small subunit ribosomal RNA", at positions 524 to 776 of the family's 1533-position model. The record is from RNAcentral.
UACGUAGGGGGCAAGCGUUAUCCGGAAUUACUGGGUGUAAAGGGUGAGUAGGCGGCAUGGUAAGCCAGAUGUGAAAGCCUUGGGCUUAACCCGAGGAUUGCAUUUGGAACUAUCAAGCUAGAGUACAGGAGAGGAAAGCGGAAUUCCUAGUGUAGCGGUGAAAUGCGUAGAUAUUGGGAAGAACACCAGUGGCGAAGGCGGCUUUCUGGACUGAAACUGACGCUGAGGCACGAAAGCGUGGUGAGCGAACAGG